This 1030-nucleotide transfer RNA is filed under the name Homo sapiens (human). Its description in RNAcentral is "HSALNT0363400". The stretch from base 129 to 210 matches the Rfam family "tRNA". The record is from RNAcentral. Lineage: Eukaryota; Metazoa; Chordata; Mammalia; Primates; Hominidae.
GCUCCCUUCCUUCCGCGGCUUCUUCUUUCCCUGUGUCCGAAGAGGUCUGCGUUGCGACUUACGUGGUAGUGCUUGGAAGGUGCGGAGUAGAUGAGAGAUAAGUGAAUGUGGACAAACCUGUCACGUAGGACGAGGUGGCCGAGUGGUUAAGGCGAUGGACUGCUAAUCCAUUGUGCUUUGCACGCGUGGGUUCGAAUCCCAUCCUCGUCGGCCCUGUUUUAUAGAGGUUGGGGGGGAAGCAUCUACAUUUUCACAUCCUGCCUAUUUGGAGCAGCAAGCUGGAGGUGCGAGGGGUGAGGCAUCUAAAUUUUCACAUCCUGCCUGUGGAGCAGCAAGCUGAAGAAAACUGAACUGGGGCCCAGAGCAAAAACACACACUGAGUACCUGGUCUCUGCCAGGAACUGUGUUAGGCACGAGGGAUGGGCCUUGGAGGAGACACAGCCCCUGCACCCUGAGCUGAUGAAGUUGUGCUGGGUCUACUGGGAAGGAGGAUGGGAAGACGGAAUCCCAGGUUGUGACAUCAUGAUCCUGAGGGCACUCCAAGUGGAUGAAGAGCAGCUCCUGCCCGCUGCUGGCAGCCUCAGGCCCAGGGGCCUCCACCCCGCAGAGGCCUGAGCCAAGCUCGCCAUUCGCCCUGGGCUGGAUCUCAGCUCCGGAAGGAGACGUCGAGAAGAGGCUGCCAAAGAGCCUGGAGGGGCCACUUCAGAGCAGCGCCUUGAAGAGGAAGGAGAGGGAGGCUCCACAGGAAAGUCCCAGGGCCAGGAAGAAGGUCAUGAGGGCGCCGGCCACCUCCCUCUCGUGUGGCAGCACCUGCCUAGAACACCCGGGAACAGGAGCUCUUAGAAAAUGCUGGGUCUAAAUCUGGACCCAGCUCCACUGCCCUCUGCCCAUCCAGUCUGGGCUCUGACCCAACCCCUCUGUCACCAUAACUGGCCCCUUCUUUCCGGGCCUCAGUUUCCUGGUCUGUAAAUGAGGCUGCUGGAUAAGGAUGUCUCUCAGGGCCUCUGAGUCUAACAUGAUGGGAUUCCAG